UCCGGUUUGUCACCGGCAGUCUCCUUAGAGUGCCCUUGCGUAGCAACUAAGGACAAGGGUUGCGCUCGUUGCGGGACUUAACCCAACAUCUCACGACACGAGCUGACGACAGCCAUGCACCACCUGUGAAAGUGUCCCGAAGGAAAGCCAUGUUUCCAUGGCGGUCACUCACAUGUCAAACCCAGGUAAGGUUCUUCGCGUUGCGUCGAAUUAAACCACAUGCUCCGCUGCUUGUGCGGGCCCCCGUCAAUUCCUUUGAGUUUCAGCCUUGCGGCCGUACUCCCCAGGCGGGGUACUUCCUGCGUUAGCGCCGGCACCCAAGGGGUCGCUCCCCCAGGCACCUAGUACCCAUCGUUUACGGCGUGGACUAC
Molecule: unclassified non-coding RNA, 371 nt
Filed under: uncultured bacterium
Lineage: Bacteria
Description: contains 16S-23S intergenic spacer region
Source: RNAcentral